Molecule: unclassified non-coding RNA, 495 nt
Filed under: Hevea brasiliensis (rubber tree)
Lineage: Eukaryota; Viridiplantae; Streptophyta; Magnoliopsida; Malpighiales; Euphorbiaceae
Source: RNAcentral
UGAGUAUCCAAUUAGUGCACUGUUGAAAAACCUUGAAGGAUGAAAGUACUGAAAAAAAACCCCCAUGAUUUUAAGUGCUAUUAUGUAACAAUAAAAAGAAAACCACAAUGAUAAACCAGCUGAGAAUAACCUUUACAAAUUUUCUGACUCCCACCAAUUACAACAACAAUUAUGGAAAUCAAAUACAGACAAACAUCUCUAGGACAGCUCUGCUGUGAUCAUCCAUAACUACAUUUUUCAUCAGCUCUCUACUUAUAUUUUUGUAUGUUUCUCAUAGAGCUCACAGAUCUAACGUCUCUACCAUUAGCAAUCACAUCAUGCAAGAUAUGAACAGGUUUUUUGUGAGAGGAAAUAAAUGUAUGAGAUGAUGAGUAUGUAAAAUAUGAACAGGUUGUCAUCUUUGGGAGAAAGUAAAUGCUGUCAUAUUCAAGCAUUGAUUAACAAAGUAUACCCUCUUUCUUUUCUCUCUCUUUUCUCUUUUUUCUUUUCUUUUGG